This 425-nucleotide ribosomal RNA is filed under the name uncultured bacterium. RNAcentral's name for it is "bacterial SSU rRNA". It matches the Rfam family "Bacterial small subunit ribosomal RNA", at positions 356 to 773 of the family's 1533-position model. The record is from RNAcentral.
GGGGAAUUUUGGACAAUGGGCGAAAGCCUGAUCCAGCCAUGCCGCGUGAGUGAAGAAGGCCUUCGGGUUGUAAAGCUCUUUCGGUCGGGAAGAAAUAGUUGUGGCUAAUAUCCACAAUGAAUGACGGUACCGACAUAAGAAGCACCGGCUAACUACGUGCCAGCAGCCGCGGUAAUACGUAGGGUGCAAGCGUUAAUCGGAAUUAUUGGGCGUAAAGGGUGCGCAGGCGGUUGUAUAAGUCAGAUGUGAAAUCCCUGGGCUUAACCUAGGAAUUGCGUUUGAAACUAUAUGACUAGAGUGUGACAGAGGGGAGUGGAAUUCCAUGUGUAGCAGUGAAAUGCGUAGAGAUGUGGAAGAACACCGAUGGCGAAGGCAGCUCCCUGGGUUAACACUGACGCUCAUGCACGAAAGCGUGGGGAGCAAAC